RNAcentral lists this ribosomal RNA (468 nucleotides) under uncultured bacterium. Its description in RNAcentral is "partial 16S ribosomal RNA". It matches the Rfam family "Bacterial small subunit ribosomal RNA", at positions 28 to 507 of the family's 1533-position model. The record is from RNAcentral.
GACGAACGCUGGCGGCGUGCUUAACACAUGCAAGUCGAACGGGAAGGCCCUGCUUUUGUGGGGUGCUCGGGUGGCGAACGGGUGAGUAACACGUGAGUAACCUGCCCUUGACUUUGGGGUAACUUCAGGAAACUGGGGCUUAUACCGGGUAGGGGCGCCUGCUGCACGGUGGGGGGUGGAAAGUUUCUGCGGUUGGGGAUGGACUCGCGGCUGAUCAGCUUGUUGGUGGGGUAGUGGCUUACCAAGGCUUUGACGGGUAGCCGGGCUGCGAGGGUGCCCGGACACAGUGGGAAUGACAGAGGGCCCAGGCAGCGGCGGGUAGCAGCAGUGGGGAGGAUUGCAGAAGGGGCGGAGGCGUGAUGCAGAAGGGCCGCGUGGGGUAGGACGGCUCUCGGGUUGGAGGUCGCUUUCGCGUGUGACGAGGCGUGAUUGACGGUAGUGGGUAAUGAAGCACCGGCUAACUACGUG